GCCGGGCGCGGUGGCUCAAGCCUGUAAUCCCAGCUACUUGGGAGGCGGAGGCAGGCGAAUCACUUGAACCAGGAAGGUGGAGGUUGCAGUGACCUGAGACUGCACCACUGCACNGUGCAGUGGUGCAGUCUCAGGUCACUGCAACCUCCACCUUCCUGGUUCAAGUGAUUCGCCUGCCUCCG
Non-coding RNA from Chlorocebus sabaeus (green monkey), 182 nucleotides. It matches the Rfam family "Metazoan signal recognition particle RNA". Rfam says of the family: The signal recognition particle (SRP) is a universally conserved ribonucleoprotein. It is involved in the co-translational targeting of proteins to membranes. The record is from Rfam. NCBI's taxonomy places the organism in Eukaryota, Metazoa, Chordata, Mammalia, Primates, Cercopithecidae.